This 615-nucleotide ribosomal RNA is filed under the name Triticum aestivum (bread wheat). Its description in RNAcentral is "partial small subunit ribosomal RNA". The record is from RNAcentral. Lineage: Eukaryota; Viridiplantae; Streptophyta; Magnoliopsida; Poales; Poaceae.
AUGGCAGGACGAGAGGCGAACAAGGACGUUGGAGCGGAGCCGCAGCGGGCGGACGGGGACGGCGGAGAAAAGAAUCUGACAAGCUGCCAGCGUUUUGGUGUUUGUUAUGCAGUGGGGCUGGCAUUAGUUCUCGUUGUUGUUACCAGUGCGAUAGCCUUGGGUGUCUCGACCCGCGGCCGAGUGGAUCCUUAUUUCUCCGUCGAGAUUUCAGGCAUGGAAGGGCUCGAUCCGCUGCGUAGCCCGGUGGUCUUCCCGGAAUCGAACCUGACUCUCCGCGUGGACAAUAGGCGGCCGAUACGACAGUACUGCAGGGAGAAAAGCACGGUGACCAUAUCAUACAGUCAGGUGGACAUGGCGUGGGGCGAGCUGCCUGCCUUCUGCGUCGAGAGGCGAUCGGCGUCGGAGUUGAGCGUCCCGUUGUCACGCCCGCAGGUGCUCUUGCCUCGGCAGCUGCGCGACAGGAUGGCCUCCGACAUGCACGUCGGCAAACUAGAAUUAGGAGUCGAGAUCGAGCCCUCCCGUCCGCAAGAUGCCGAUCGGCCGUGCUACUUGUCCUGCAUUAUUAUGUCAGGGCACCUUGAUGAGCCACAACUAUGUAAACAGUUUUGCGUCUGA